UACGUAGGGUGCGAGCGUUAAUCGGAAUUACUGGGCGUAAAGCGUGCGCAGGCGGUUGGCAAAGUCAGCUGUGAAAGCCCCGGGCUCAACCUGGGAAUUGCGGUUGAAACUAGCCGACUAGAAUCUGGCAGAGGGGGGUGGAAUUCCACGUGUAGCAGUGAAAUGCGUAGAGAUGUGGAGGAACACCGAUGGCGAAGGCAGCCCCCUGGGCCUGCACUGACGCUCAUGCACGAAAGCGUGGGGAGCAAACAGG
RNAcentral lists this ribosomal RNA (253 nucleotides) under uncultured bacterium. Its description in RNAcentral is "partial 16S ribosomal RNA". It matches the Rfam family "Bacterial small subunit ribosomal RNA", at positions 524 to 776 of the family's 1533-position model. The record is from RNAcentral.